This 377-nucleotide ribosomal RNA is filed under the name uncultured bacterium. RNAcentral describes it as "bacterial SSU rRNA". It matches the Rfam family "Bacterial small subunit ribosomal RNA", at positions 523 to 898 of the family's 1533-position model. The record is from RNAcentral.
AUACGUAGGUGGCGAGCGUUGUCCGGAAUUACUGGGCGUAAAGGGUGCGUAGGCGGUUUGUUAAGUCUUAUGUGAAAUGCGCCGGCUUAACCGGUGAACUGCAUAGGAAACUGGCAGGCUAGAGUGUCGGAGAGGGUCGCGGAAUUCCCGGUGCAGCGGUGAAAUGCGUAGAUAUCGGGAGGAACACCAGUGGCGAAGGCGGCGACCUGGACGAACACUGACGCUGAGGCACGAUAGCUGGGCGAGCAAACAGGAUUAGAUACCCUGGUAGUCCCAGCCGUAAACGAUGAGCGCUAGGUGUUGCGGGUAUCGACCCCUGCAGUGCCGCAGUAAACGCAAUAAGCGCUCCGCCUGGGGAGUACGGCCGCAAGGCUGAA